Molecule: ribosomal RNA, 466 nt
Filed under: uncultured bacterium
Lineage: Bacteria
Description: partial 16S ribosomal RNA
Rfam family: Bacterial small subunit ribosomal RNA
Source: RNAcentral
GAUGAACGCUGGCGGCGUGCUUAACACAUGCAAGUCGAACGAUGAAGCCCAGCUUGCUGGGUGGAUUAGUGGCGAACGGGUGAGUAACACGUGAGUAACCUGCCCUUAACUCUGGGAUAAGCCUGGGAAACUGGGUCUAAUACCGGAUAGGAGCGCCUACCGCAUGGUGGGUGUUGGAAAGAUUUAUCGGUUUUGGAUGGACUCGCGGCCUAUCAGCUUGUUGGUGGGGUAAUGGCUCACCAAGGCGACGACGGGCAGCCGGCCUGAGAGGGUGACCGGCCACACGGGGACUAAGACACGGACCAGACUCCUACGGGAGGCAGCAGUGGAGAAUAUUGCACAAUGGGCGAGAGCCUGAUGCAGCGACGCCGCGUGAGGGAUGACGGCCUUCGGGUUGUAAACCUCUUUCAGUAGGGAAGAAGCGAAAGUGACGUUACCUGCAGAAGAAGCACCGGCUAACUACGUG